Molecule: ribosomal RNA, 1379 nt
Filed under: uncultured bacterium
Lineage: Bacteria
Description: partial 16S ribosomal RNA
Rfam family: Bacterial small subunit ribosomal RNA
Source: RNAcentral
UGCUUAACACAUGCAAGUCUACGACGAAAAAGGUAGCAAUAUCUUGAUUAAAGUGGCGCACGGGUGAGUAACACGUGAGCAAUCUACCCUUGGAUUUGGAAUAACCCGUCGAAAGACGUGCUAAUACCGAACGACACGCGGGAAUCGCAUGGUUCCUUCGUUAAAGUUGCAGCAAUGUAACGUCCAGGCAUGAGCUUGCGUCUGAUUAGCUAGUUGGUAGGGUAAUGGCCUACCAAGGCGACGAUCAGUAGCUGGUCUGAGAGGAUGAUCAGCCACACUGGAACUGAGACACGGUCCAGACUCCUACGGGAGGCAGCAGUGAGGAAUAUUGGGCAAUGCCCGCAAGGGUGACCCAGCAACGCCGCGUGGAGGAUGAAAGCCGUAAGGUUGUAAACUCCUGUGAGAGGGGACGAAUGAUUACGUUUCGUAAGGAACGUGAAGUGACUGUACCCUCAGAGGAAGCCCCGGCUAACUACGUGCCAGCAGACGCGGUAAUACGUACGGGGCAAGCGUUGUCCGGAUUUACUGGGUGUACAGGGCGCGUAGGCGGGUUGACAAGUAGAUAGUGAAAUCCUGCGGCUUAACCGCAGAACUGCCCCUAAUACUGUCAAUCUUGAGUUCAGAAGAGAGAAGCGGAAUUCCAGGUGUAGUGGUGAAAUACGUAGAUAUCUGGAAGAACACCAGUUGCGAAGGCGGCUUCUUGGUCUGACACUGACGCUGAGGCGCGAAAGCGUGGGGAGCAAACAGGAUUAGAGACCCUGGUAGUCCACGCUGUAAACGAUGAAUACUAGAUGUCGGGGUAAAACCUCGGUAUCGCAGCUAACGCAUUAAGUAUUCCACCUGGGGAGUACGAUCGCAAGGUUGAAACUCAAAGGAAUUGACGGGGGCCCGCACAAGCAGUGGAGCAUGUGGUUUAAUUCGAUGAUACGCGAGGAACCUUACCCGGGCUCGAACGGUGCAGUAAUAUGGUAGAGAUAUCAUAGCUAGCAAUAGACUGUAUCGAGGUGCUGCAUGGUUGUCGUCAGCUCGUGCCGUGAGGUGUCGGCUUAAGUGCCAUAACGAGCGCAACCCUUGUCGUUAGUUACCAUCAAAUAAAGUUGGGGACUCUAGCGAGACUGCCACCGUAAGGUGUGAGGAAGGGGGGGAUGACGUCAAAUCAGCACGGCCCUUACGUCCGGGGCGACACACGUGUUACAAUGGUAGGUACAGAGGGCCGCUACCCAGUGAUGGGGUGCCAAUCUCAAAAACCUAUCUCAGUUCGGAUCGGAGUCUGCAACUCGACUCCGUGAAGUUGGAUUCGCUAGUAAUCGCGCAUCAGCCAUGGCGCGGUGAUACGUUCCCGGGCCUUGUACACACCGCCCGUCAAGCCAUGGAAGCUG